GGUGACGCAGGAAGGUAGCUGAGCCAGUCAGUGGUAAUACUGGUGUAAGCGUGUAGGGCGUGACCUAGGCAAAUCCGGGUCACAUACAGCCUGAGACGUGAUGCGUAGCCGAUUGAGGCGAAUUCAGUGAUCCUAUGCUGCCGAGAAAAGCCUCUAGCGAGCUUUCACACGGCCCGUACCCCAAACCGACACAGGUGGUCAGGUAGAGAAUACUAAGGCGAUCGAGAUAACUGUGGUUAAGGAACUCGGCAAAAUGCCCCCGUAACUUCGGGAGAAGGGGGGCCUCGUCUGGUGACGGAACUUGCUUCCUGAGCUGGGUGGGGCCGCAGAGACCAGAGAGAAGCGACUGUUUACUAAAAACACAGGUCCGUGCGAAGUCGUAAGACGAUGUAUACGGACUGACGCCUGCCCGGUGCUGGAAGGUUAAGAGGACCGGUUAGCCAGUAAUGGCGAAGCUGAGAAUUUAAGCCCCAGUAAACGGCGGUGGUAACUAUAACCAUCCUAAGGUAGCGAAAUUCCUUGUCGGGUAAGUUCCGACCUGCACGAAUGGCGUAACGACUUCUCUGCUGUCUCAACCACAGACUCGGCGAAAUUGCAUUACGAGUAAAGAUGCUCGUUACGCGCGGCAGGACGAAAAGACCCGGGACCUUCACUAUAGCUUGGUAUUGGUGUUCGGUUCGGUUUGUGUAGGAUAGGUGGGAGACUGUGAAGCGGCACGCCAGUGUUCGUGGAGUCGUUGUUGAAAUACCACUCUGAUCGUAUUGGACAUCUAACCUCGGACCAUGAUCUGGUUCAGGGACAGUGCCUGGUGGGUUUUAACUGGGGCGGUUGCCUCCCAAAAUGUAACGGAGGCGCCCAAAGGUUCCCUCAGCCUGGUUGGCAAUCAGGUGUCGAGUGCAAGUGCACAAGGGAGCUUGACUGUGAGACUGACAGGUCGAGCAGGGACGAAAGUCGGGACUAGUGAUCCGGCACCGGCAAGUGGAAGCGGUGUCGCUCAACGGAUAAAAGGUACCCCGGGAUAACAGGCUGAUCUUCCCCAAGAGUCCAUAUCGACGGGAUGGUUUGGCACCUCGAUGUCGGCUCGUCGCAUCCUGGGGCUGGAGUAGGUCCAAGGGUUGGGCUGUUCGCCCAUUAAAGCGGCACGCGAGCUGGGUUUAGAACGUCGUGAGACAGUUCGGUCUCUAUCCGCCGCGCGCGUUAGAAACUUGAGGAAGGCUGUCCCUAGUACGAGAGGACCGGGACGGACGAACCUCUGGUGUGCCAGUUGUUCCGCCAGGAGCACUGCUGGUUAGCUACGUUCGGAAGGGAUAACCGCUGAAAGCAUCUAAGCGGGAAGCCUGUUCCAAGAUGAGGUUUCUCACCCCCUCGAGGGGGUAAGGCCCCCGGCAGACCACCGGGUUGAUAGGCCAGAACUGGAGCACAGUAAUGUGUGGAGGUGACUGGUACUAAUAGGCCGAGGACUUACCACAA
Molecule: ribosomal RNA, 1470 nt
Filed under: Rhodococcus (subgen. Prescottella) equi
Lineage: Bacteria; Bacillati; Actinomycetota; Actinomycetes; Mycobacteriales; Nocardiaceae
Description: Rhodococcus hoagii partial 23S ribosomal RNA
Rfam family: Bacterial large subunit ribosomal RNA
Source: RNAcentral